This 467-nucleotide ribosomal RNA is filed under the name uncultured bacterium. RNAcentral describes it as "partial 16S ribosomal RNA". It matches the Rfam family "Bacterial small subunit ribosomal RNA", at positions 28 to 506 of the family's 1533-position model. The record is from RNAcentral.
GACGAACGCUGGCGGCGUGCUUAACACAUGCAAGUCGAACGGAAAGGCCCUGCUUUUGUGGGGUGCUCGAGUGGCGAACGGGUGAGUAACACGUGAGUAACCUGCCCCUGACUUUGGGAUAACUUCAGGAAACUGGGGCUAAUACCGGAUAGGAGCUCCUUCUGCAUGGUGGGGGUUGGAAAGUUUCGGCGGUUGGGGAUGGACUCGCGGCUUAUCAGCUUGUUGGUGGGGUAGUGGCUUACCAAGGCUUUGACGGGUAGCCGGCCUGAGAGGGUGACCGGCCACAUUGGGACUGAGAUACGGCCGAGACUCAUACGGGGGGCAGGAGGGGGGACUAUUGCAGAAUGGGCGGAAGCGUGAUGCAGCAACGCCGCGUGUGGGAUGACGGCCUUCGGGUUGUAAGCCGCUUUCGCCUGUGACGAAGCGUGAGUGACGGUAAUGGGUAAAGAAGCACCGGCUAACUACGU